RNAcentral lists this ribosomal RNA (1053 nucleotides) under Triticum aestivum (bread wheat). RNAcentral's name for it is "partial small subunit ribosomal RNA". Lineage: Eukaryota; Viridiplantae; Streptophyta; Magnoliopsida; Poales; Poaceae. The record is from RNAcentral.
GCCCCGCACAUCUCCGUGCAUUGCUUUGACGCCCUGUGUAUGCAUGAUUCCACAACACGCUCCAGACUCCUCCAAGUUUUAUACGCACGUCGUCCAUCCUUGAAUUAUGUCCCGGCCACCUUGACAUCUCAUGUGUUCCCAUCAAGCCACCACAAUGUGUGCUGUGGUAACCACAUCUAGUCAUGUGCAAAAUCAGCCUCACGCGAACCUGCUCCAAUUGCUUCACUGCGUUUCGUCUUUGACCAUGCACGUAACAAACUUGUGCAUGUGUUUCAUGCCAAAAGCUUUGGAUCCUUGUGCGUGUCUGCUCCUCUCGGGACUUUCAAGACCUUUUUUCCGAACAAAUCUCGUAUACUGCAUGUGUCACAAACCUGGCCUGCACGUGUCCUUCCGAACCACCGGCGCCUAGCACACUUCGGCCCCGCGUACGUCCGGCUGCAACCUGUACGAACUCCACCGCCUGCAGCCCAUGCACCAAAGUCCUUCCUUGCACAGCCAAGGUCGUCAUAGCACACCUAGGCCACGCUUCGAGUUAUUUUUUUUUCCUGUAUGUGCCUUGGUCUUUGCACGCAACCCUAUCCUCCUGUGCGAUGGGCCUUUGGGCCGCCUGCCAACCGCGCUAGAUGCGCCUUCGGCCGUGCUGCUGCUGAACUGAGUAGUCUGCUGCCCUAGCCGCCGCUGAAACAAAUCUAUACGCAGGCACCACCGCCGUUGCCACGUGCGACCAUGCAGCUGCCCACGUGGCUUGCCCAGACUGACUUUCGUGUGCGUGCGCCACGGCUUGGUCCAACACGAUGCAAUCCCGGAGUGCAUUGCUCACUUUAUCUGCUACUUUUGAUCGCUUUCAUCUGGCCGAACGAAUCCCGAUCCUCGUCGAUGUCGCAAAACAAUCUCCCCGGCAACAUGCACUUUCCGCACCGGCGCCAAUUUUCACAUCGACCCGAUCAUCAGUCCGCCGCCGAUUUUCACAUCGACCCGAUCAAUCCUUCGACUCUCCUCCUCUAGAUUAACAAUUCCCGCCUCAUCGAACUUUGCUCAUGAUACCACUUGUUA